ACCACUGCUAAUCUAGUGAAUCUAUCACUGCUGCCAAUCUAUCUAUUGCUGUCAAUCUAUCUACCACUGUCAAUCUACUGCUGCCAAUCUAUCACUGCUAAUCUAUCACUGCCAAUCUAUCUAUCACUGCUAAUCUAUCGCUGCUAAUCUAUUGCUGCUAAUCUAUCGCUGCCAAUCUAUCUAUUGCUGUCAAUCUAUCUACCACUGUCAAUCUACUGCUGCCAAUCUAUCACUGCUAAUCUAUCACUGCCAAUCUAUCUAUCACUGCUAAUCUAUCGCUGCCAAUCUAUCGCUGCUAAUCUAUCGCUGCCAAUCUAUCGCUGCUAAUCUAUCGCUGCUAAUCUAUCACUGCUAAUCUAUCGCUGCUAAUCUAUUGCUGCUAAUCUAUCGCUGCUAAUCUAUUGCUGCUAAUCUAUCGCUGCCAAUUUAUCGCUGCCAAUCUAUCGCUGCUAAUCUAUCGCUGCCAAUCUAUCGCUGCUAAUCUAUCGCUGCUAAUCUAUCACUGCUAAUCUAUCGCUGCUAAUCUAUUGCUGCUAAUCUAUCGCUGCUAAUCUAUUGCUGCUAAUCUAUCGCUGCUAAUCUAUUGCUGCUAAUCUAUCGCUGCCAACCUACCUACCGCUGCCAACCUAUCUACUGCUGCCAACCUAUCUACCACUGCUAAUCUAUCACUGCUGCCAAUCUAUAUAGGGUAAAUCAUGGUUACAAAAUGGGAUUAAAUGGAAUUAGAAUCACUAAUUUAUUAGUAAAAUAUGAUCUGAGACUAGAUUUAUAAUAUAAACAGUAUAAAAUAACUAAUUUACUAAACAUUAUAUAGAACCAGAACUAAGAUAUCUAAUAAUAAGACUGAGAAAAAAUUUGAACUUAGUUUUAUAUAUAAUCACACAGCCAGUCUAACUGCAGCAUCUGUACUAUUUAUAAAGAAAUC
This 925-nucleotide small RNA is filed under the name Histoplasma capsulatum. Its description in RNAcentral is "hypothetical RNA". Lineage: Eukaryota; Fungi; Ascomycota; Eurotiomycetes; Onygenales; Ajellomycetaceae. RNAcentral also lists the same sequence under 1 other name. The record is from RNAcentral.